ACCUGUUCCCAUGCCGAACACAGAAGUUAAGCUCUCUAGCGCCGAUGGUAGUUGGGGUUCUUCCCCUGUGAGAGUAGGACGCCGCCGGGC
RNAcentral lists this ribosomal RNA (90 nucleotides) under Alkalibacillus filiformis. The record is from RNAcentral. Lineage: Bacteria; Bacillati; Bacillota; Bacilli; Caryophanales; Bacillaceae.